This 1339-nucleotide long non-coding RNA is filed under the name Pan troglodytes (chimpanzee). RNAcentral's name for it is "lincRNA". The record is from RNAcentral. Lineage: Eukaryota; Metazoa; Chordata; Mammalia; Primates; Hominidae.
ACAUAGGUCCCCAGAGAAUUUCAAUAUGUCUGAUGUCAAGAACGGAAAGUGAGACAGCCAGGUGGGAGGGGGUCCCUGGAGAAUCUCCAACCAGCAUGCGCACUGGGAACGCGCACUGGAGUGAAAAUACAGAAGUUGGUGCCCUUUGCAGCAGCCAGGAGUCCGACUCCUCCUCUUCCUGUGUGGAACCUGGAAUUCAAACGGCUGGGGCCUCACUCACGGCAUAUGGAACUAACCACGCCCCUAACUAAGAAGGCACACCUUAGUUGCAGUUAGCACACAAUUAAAGCAACUCUCCAAGUUUUACCUUAAAGUUCAAAAUUGCUAGGAGUUGAAACUACUAGAAAUAUAUUUACAUGCAAGAGUCAAAGAAACUUUGAACUAUUUAUGGCCUUUAAUAAUUAAGUAAGGUAUACUCCUGUGAUCAAGACUUGGAGCAUAUUUGUUUCUCUCUGCCUGGUUCCUCUAGAAAUUGGAAACGAUCAGAACACAGACCAACUCCGUUUCCCGAUCCCUUUGCAAUCUGCAUUGAACCAUGAGUCAAGUUCUUGAUAAAGGAGUGAAAAUGGAUGACAUUUAAGGCACAUCUGAAGAUGGGGAAACCACAGUACAGAAUAAGGCUGGGCCCUUGAAUCAAUAAAUGAAGGAGAACUACUCAAGAGAACAAAACCACCAGCAAUAUCCACCUGUAUUUGUCUUUUCAUAAUGUGUGACACAUGUGCUCAUGGAUUAUUGUCCGAAGCAAGUCAUGUGACCAAGCUUAACAUCAACUGGGUGAAGAGCUAUAUGUUCCUUUCUCAAGAGGCACUACAAGUGACAUGCCAACGGGCAGAUGGAGUCUCACUCUGUCACCCAGGCUAGAGUGCAGUGCCGUGAUCUCGGCUCACUGCAAGCUCUGACUCCCAGGUUCAUGCCAUUCUCCUGCCUCAGCCUCCCAAGUAGCUGGGACUACAGGCGCCCACCACCACGCCUGGCUAAUUUUUUAUAUUUUUAGUAGAGAAGGGGUUUCGCCGUGUUAGCCAGGAUGGUCUUGAUCUCCUGACCUCAUGAUCUGCCCACCUCGGCCUCCCAAAGUGCUAGGAUUACAGGCGUGAGCCACCACGACUGGCCUAACAUAUUUUUAAAACCUGUAGAAUGUUUGUAUUACUUUUGUCAUAGUACAUAACAUUUAAAUGGAUUUCUUGUUUGUGUAUGUGUGUAUAUUCAUUCACAACACUGAUAGUUUUUCUGAAUAUUUCCUUUGGAUUUUAUUCUUUUCUCAUUCAACUAAAUAAGAACCUGCACCAUCUUUUUCUAGUGUAAAAAUUACAAUAUCUGAAGUGAAACUACUAGAAUAAAU